AGCCAUGCCGCGUGUGUGAAGAAGGCCUUCGGGUUGUAAAGCACUUUCAGCAGUGAGGAAGGCGGGUACGUUAAUAGCGUGCUCGUUUGACGUUAGCUGCAGAAGAAGCACCGGCUAACUCCGUGCCAGCAGCCGCGGUAAUACGGAGGGUGCGAGCGUUAAUCGGAAUUACUGGGCGUAAAGCGCAUGCAGGUGGUUCGUUAAGUCAGAUGUGAAAGCCCGGGGCUCAACCUCGGAACUGCAUUUGAAACUGGCGGACUAGAGUACUGUAGAGGGGGGUAGAAUUUCAGGUGUAGCGGUGAAAUGCGUAGAGAUCUGAAGGAAUACCGGUGGCGAAGGCGGCCCCCUGGACAGAUACUGACACUCAGAUGCGAAAGCGUGGGGAGCAAACAGGAUUAGAUACCCUGGUAGUCCACGCCGUAAACGAUGUCUACUUGGAGGUUGUGGCCUUGAGCCGUGGCUUUCGGAGCUAACGCGUUAA
RNAcentral lists this ribosomal RNA (481 nucleotides) under Vibrio sp. RNAcentral describes it as "bacterial SSU rRNA". It matches the Rfam family "Bacterial small subunit ribosomal RNA", at positions 390 to 863 of the family's 1533-position model. The record is from RNAcentral. Lineage: Bacteria; Pseudomonadati; Pseudomonadota; Gammaproteobacteria; Vibrionales; Vibrionaceae.